Molecule: long non-coding RNA, 2027 nt
Organism: Cheilinus undulatus (humphead wrasse)
Lineage: Eukaryota; Metazoa; Chordata; Actinopteri; Labriformes; Labridae
Exons: 3
Source: RefSeq, a predicted model, not a curated record
ACUACCUUAUUGCGGGCAGCAGUAUAGGUGGGUUGAUAAUGCUAGAAACAUUGGAGAACUUUGCAGCUGAAUAAAAAACAAGAAUGUUUGCCCUCGAUAGGUUUAGAGAUGUUGUCAACGAGCAGCUAACUGCUGCAGCUGAGGAAAUAUUUGACGAUUUUACAAGAACUAUUGUCGAGGACGAGGCGGAAAUCGACCAUCAGCGCAGAAAGCUGGAUAUUGGAAACCUCCCAUCCACUUACACAGAAUAGACAUCCCGCUGCAACAUGUGUGUAAGGAGGAGAAGGUUGAACCUGAGCAGCAGCUCUGCCAUCAGGAGAGGAAGUCCAGUCUGGACCAGGAGGAUCCAGAGCCUCCACAGAUAAAGGAGGAGCAGUUCGUACAGGAGGAGACUGACACGUUGAUGUUGACUCCUACUCAGGAGGAAGAUGUCCCGCAGCAGCAUGUGUGUAGGGAGGAGGAGGUUGAACCUGAGCAGCAGCUCUGCCACCAGGAGAGGAAGUCCAGUCUGGACCAGGAGGAUCCAGAGCCUCCACAGAUGAAAGAGGAGCAGGAGGAAGAGCAGCUCAAACAGGAGGAGACUGACACGUUGGUGUUGAUUCCUACUCAGGAGGAAAGAGAGCAGAGUGAAGCAGAAGGAGAAAAUGAACACCAGCUCCUUUCUCACAACUCUCGUAAACCUCAUCCACAUGCAGAUUCUGACAGAAACUCUUCAGCCUUAAUUAACAGGGGUAUUGAAAAAAGAUCACACAGGCAUAGAGACAGCAGGGGGAGACGGAGUCAUGGUGUGUGUGGCUAACAGACUCAUUUUCAUGUGGGAAGGCCUUUUUGACAGCAUAGGUAAACUUUAUACUUAACAAUGGUAUGAAAUACAGUCCUAAAGUUACUCCUGAUAUGCCAGAUAGGCAAAGAAGUUGAUUUCCAACCCUGUGAUUCAUACAUGCAUGUAUAAAUAAAUAAUCAUAUGGUCAAAAAAGGAAAAAUCCAUGACAUAAUGGAAGAAGGAUGUACUAGAGUAGGCUGAGAUAAAUUUACCUUUUAGUAGAAGACCUUGGCUGAAACCGAAAAUGUUUUUCUAGAAAGUUUGCUUUGUUCUUCUUUCGUCCCUGCCUGAAAAAAAAGGUUAUUUCAGAGGAAGUUAUUUUAGAUGAAUGCUGUACUAAACCUUAUUUUUCUCAGAAAUACCAUGACAUUUACUUUAGGAUCCCUUCCUCAAUUCUGUGGUAUUUUUCGUUUCCUUUCUGCAGAUGACCUUCUAUUAUACGUUUCAGACCCCUUGACAAGCAUUCCACUAAUUUUAUCCUUGAUGGAGAAAUUUAGUUCUUCAGUAUGUAAAAUUAACCUUUUUAAGAGUGAAUGUUAUCCUGUUAAUUCAUUAGCUUUAAUACUUAUGCAGUCUGAUAUUCCUUUUAAAUUCAGUCAGUCACUCAGGCUUUAGGUAUUUAGGGAUUAAUGUCAACCGCACCUUACCAUUACUUUAUAGUAAUAAUUGUUCUUCCCUACUCAAUCAGGUUAAGGCAGAUUUCCAGAAAUGGAACUCUCCCAUUAUCACUGAUGAGGAGAAUGCAGUGAAGAUGAACAUCUUGCCCAGAUUUCUUUUUCUAUUUCAGUGUAUUCCUUUUUUCUUAUCCAAGCAAUUUUUUAAAAUCUAUAGAUCAAGUUACUACCUAUUUGUCCAAGAAUAACAAAGUCAUUACUGCAAAAAUUUAAAUCUGAUGGUAAUCAAAUUUUCUUAAUUAUUAUUAUUGGUCAGCCCAUAUUCAUAAACUAACUUAUUUGCUGAAAUCUCCUGAACUGCUUUGGUUUAGGCUAGAGACUCAGUCAUGUGUCUCAUCUUUUCUCAUCUUCACUACCUAUUAUUAUUAUAUAGUCCUAAUUUUACAAGGAGCCCCACUGCCAGUCUUUUUAAAUUUAAUUUAUUGUUCGUUUGCUUAUAAUAUCAUUUUCAUUGCCAUUUAUACAUUUUGUGACAACUCUAUUUAGAACAAUUUGUCUUACUGAUUAACAAAGAGAGAACAUGAUUUAUU